This 347-nucleotide transfer-messenger RNA is filed under the name bacterium. It matches the Rfam family "transfer-messenger RNA". From Rfam's summary of the family: Bacterial tmRNA, also known as 10Sa RNA or SsrA, is named for its dual tRNA and mRNA-like properties. Its role is to liberate the mRNA from a stalled ribosome. The record is from RNAcentral.
GGGGGCGACAAGUUUCGACGGGAUGGAGAAGGUCUGGACUGCAUGCCGUGGUUGAUCGAGAGGCCACGUUAAUACUCGAUUACAUGUUAGUUGGCGCCUUCAACAGCGCUCUCGCUCUCGCUGCCUGAGUGGCUUGACCGAGUGAUGGCACGGCAUCAUCGCCCACCGUGCGGACUGGCCGGAAAGACGGCUGACAGGCUGGAAAGACAGCCAAAAAAUAGUGGUAGUCCACUUGCUGUCAGAUAAGUCUGGCUGGCUUGGUCGUGUGUGAGAACACGACAUACGCAUGUAGGCGUCCUUACUGGAAACUUCACCGGACCCGGGUGCAAUUCCCGGCGCCUCCAUUG